GGGGGCGUAGCUUAGUUGGGAGAGUGUCGCGUUCGCAACGCGAAGGUCGUGAGUUCGAGUCUCAUCGUCUCCA
Molecule: transfer RNA, 73 nt
Filed under: bacterium
Lineage: Bacteria
Description: tRNA-Ala
Rfam family: tRNA
About the family: Transfer RNA (tRNA) molecules are approximately 80 nucleotides in length.
Source: RNAcentral